UCACAGCGUUUCCAAGAUUCCAAGACAUAGCAGGAAUGAUUGAGCAAGAUGUUAGUCUGUUCUUUGGUGAUGCAACCUCUGUAAAGUUCCUGGAGAAGUGGUUUACUCUCUACAAGCAGGAAGUCAUUGACCAAAGCCGUGGCCUCACACAGACAGGCGACCUGCAAGACCUGGUUCAAAAUGCUGGAUCCACAACAGAAGUGGAAAAUGGAUGUCAUCCAUUUUGGUCCUUGUCCACCUUCUGCCACCAUCACCUCAUGGACGCAAGAGACCAGGAAAAAUCUCAGCCAGACACACCAGUUACCACAUUGUGAAGUUUAUCAAGACUGGGACCAGCAUCCAGGGGCAUCUGGAGAGCGUCACGGAAAGCCUUCAAC
This is a non-coding RNA of Salvelinus sp. IW2-2015, 377 nucleotides long. Lineage: Eukaryota; Metazoa; Chordata; Actinopteri; Salmoniformes; Salmonidae. The record is from RefSeq and is a predicted model, not a curated record.